GCCAUGGCGGGCCGGGGCGGGCCUUGAGCGAGCUGAGCCAGUUGGGGCAGGGAUCGGAGUGCGACCAUGGGACAGAAGUCCCCUGGAUCAUAGGUGCUUUUGGAAGAGAGGGGUGGCCUGAGUUCGGGACAUUUGGGAGUGUCGACUUGUUACUAUUGCAGCACCUGACCUCCAGUCAAGAUUUAAGGAAGUAAACUCCACCACAGGACAGCAAAGAAGGAGUUGAUGGACAGAACUUUGGGAGGGACUACAGGGUUAAAAGGCAAAACCUCUACUGUGUAGUCUUCACCUUAUAGUGAAAUGACCAGAUGUCUCAGAAAGCCUCAAGCUAUGCUGGCAUCAGGAGCAUUUGCCCCCAUCCUGAGUGACUGCAGACUGAAAUGCCAAUAUGUUCUGAGAAGUUCACAUUUUUUAAAAUUCUAAUGGCAAGAAAAUUACAUUGGAGAAAUAACCAGAUCAGAUGUCUAAAUACCUUUGAAUGUACAAGGAUCAGCCAUGGUGGAAGAAGGUAGAAGACCAUUCCUCAGCAGCCAUCUGGACAGAUCAUCACACUUUUUGUCUUCUACUUAGGAUGGCUAUGUGUCACCUCCUCCUCUCAUCUCAAACAUUGGAUCCAAACAUCUAACAUCCACACUUGAGAAAUCUUUGCAAGCUGUGUCUUCAGACACCAUGGGCAACCCUGUGGUGAGACCCCUCAGUUCGGCCAGGGCGUGCGGACAUGUAGCUAUGUUCCCCAUCUGCACACAUGAGGAAAUCCUCCAUGUUCAGUAAAAAGACCAUAAAACUGUUUCUCUAUGUAACUCCUUUCCAUAUAAAUGCUUACCUCUGAAAUACCAGUACCGGCAAGGCCAUCUCUGGGAAAAAGCCUGAGAACAGCCAGAAAGUCCAAGCUUGGAUAUUAGAGGCGGUUGGUGUUGAGGAAUACAUCUAGUGCAGGAUAUGCUGCCGCAAUGCAGUGCAAGUUGCAGGUUGUGCUUUGUGUGUGGGGAAAGGACUGGAGCUUCCAGCAAGAGCAGUGAUCGGGCACUGACCCUUUGCACAACAAGGUGCAUGGGAACCUGUGGCACCAGCCAGGUAAGCAGCCACUCUGAGAUACAACGGGAGCCAGUGGCUCAGCAGGAAGACCCCACACCCCUGAGGGCAUGGACUGUGGAUACAAAAUGGGUUUCUUGGUUCAGGGUCUGUUCUUGGCAGCACCCAGCUUGAUCUCAAGCUAGUUUUGUGUGACCCUGCCAUGAAUAAAGUACUUACAAAAAUCA
This is a long non-coding RNA of Melospiza melodia melodia, 1259 nucleotides long. RefSeq lists it as uncharacterized. The record is from RefSeq and is a predicted model, not a curated record. Lineage: Eukaryota; Metazoa; Chordata; Aves; Passeriformes; Passerellidae. The transcript has 4 exons.